RNAcentral lists this ribosomal RNA (270 nucleotides) under uncultured bacterium. Its description in RNAcentral is "partial 16S ribosomal RNA". It matches the Rfam family "Bacterial small subunit ribosomal RNA", at positions 793 to 1055 of the family's 1533-position model. The record is from RNAcentral.
GUCCACGCCCUAAACGAUGGAUGCUAGAUAUCGGGAGUAUCGACCCUCCCGGUGUCGGUGAAAAAGCUAACGCAUUAAGCAUCCCGCCUGGGGAGUACGGUCGCAAGACUAAAACUCAAAGGAAUAGACGGGGACCCGCACAAGUGGAGGAGCAUGUGGUUUAAUUCGAUGGUAAGCGAGGAACCUUACCUGGGCUUGAAAGACAGCUGCAAGCCGCCGGAAACGGUGGCCGCCUUCGAGGGUGCUGUCUAGGUGCUGCAUGGUUGCCGU